Molecule: ribosomal RNA, 253 nt
Filed under: uncultured bacterium
Lineage: Bacteria
Description: partial 16S ribosomal RNA
Rfam family: Bacterial small subunit ribosomal RNA
Source: RNAcentral
UACGGGGGGGGCAAGCGUUGUUCGGAAUUACUGGGCGUAAAGGGCGCGUAGGCGGUCUGUUAAGUUCGGUGUGAAAGCCCCCGGCUCACCUGGGGAACUGCGCCGGAAACCGACAGACUCGAGUACCGGAGAGGAGGGUGGAAUUCCUGGUGUAGCGGUGAAAUGCGUAGAUAUCAGGAGGAACACCGGUGGCGAAGGCGGCCCUCUGGGACGGUACUGACGCUGAGACGCGAAAGCGUGGGGAGCGAACAGG